RNAcentral lists this ribosomal RNA (1192 nucleotides) under Clostridioides difficile. RNAcentral's name for it is "bacterial LSU rRNA". It matches the Rfam family "Bacterial large subunit ribosomal RNA", at positions 810 to 2020 of the family's 2925-position model. Lineage: Bacteria; Bacillati; Bacillota; Clostridia; Peptostreptococcales; Peptostreptococcaceae. The record is from RNAcentral.
UGUGGGUAGCGGUGAAAUUCCAAUCGAGCCCGGAGAUAGCUGGUUCUCCCCGAAAUAGCUUUAGGGCUAGCCUCAAGGUGAGAGAUACGGAGGUAGAGCACUGAAUGUCCUAGGGGGUAUUGCACCUACCGAAGACUAUCAAACUCCGAAUGCCGUCAUCUUAUACUUGGGAGUCAGACUGUGGGUGAUAAGAUUCAUAGUCGAAAGGGCAACAGCCCAGAUCGUCAGCUAAGGUCCCUAAAUGUAAGUUAAGUGGUAAAGGAUGUGGGAUUGCACAGACAACCAGGAUGUUGGCUUAGAAGCAGCCACUCAUUCAAAGAGUGCGUAAUAGCUCACUGGUCGAGUGAUCCUGCGCCGAAGAUUUCCGGGGCUAAAACUUACUACCGAAGCUACGGCAUCAGUAAUGAUGGGUAGGGGAGCUUCCCAUACGGGUUGAAGCAUGACCGUAAGGACAUGUGGACAGUAUGGGAGUGAGAAUGUUGGCAUGAGUAGCGAGAUGUGGGUGAGAAUCCCACAGGCCGUAAACCCAAGGUUUCCAGGGGAAGGUUCGUCCGCCCUGGGUUAGUCGGGACCUAAGCUGAGGCCGAAAGGCGUAGGUGAUGGACAACAGGUUGAUAUUCCUGUACUACCGAUAACCGUUUGAGAGAAGGGAUGACACAGUAGGAUAAGCUAAGCACACUGUUGGUUAUGUGUGCCCAAGCAUUGAGGCAGUCAAAGUAGGCAAAUCCGCUUUGAUAAUGCUGGGAUGUGAUGGGGAGCGAAAUUUAGUAGCGAAGUAGCUGAUUUCACACUGUCAAGAAAAGUCUCUAUCGAGGUUAAAGGUACCCGUACCGCAAACCGACACAGGUGGGUGAGGAGAGUAUCCUAAGGCCAGCGAGAGAACUGUUGUUAAGGAACUCGGCAAAAUGACCCCGUAACUUAGGGAUAAGGGGUGCCACCAUCAGGUGGCCGCAGAGAAUAGGCCCAAGCGACUGUUUACCAAAAACAUAGGUUUCUGCUAAGUCGCAAGACGAUGUAUAGGAGCUGACGCCUGCCCGGUGCUGGAAGGUUAAGGGGAUCUGUUAGAGCAAUCGAAGCAGUGAACUUAAGCCCCAGUAAACGGCGGCCGUAACUAUAACGGUCCUAAGGUAGCGAAAUUCCUUGUCGGGUAAGUUCCGACCCGCACGAAAGGCGUAACGAUUUGGGCACUGUC